UACGUAGGGGGCGAGCGUUGUCCGGAUUUAUUGGGCGUAAAGAGCUCGUAGGCGGUUGGGUAAGUCGGGUGUGAAAACUCAGGGCUCAACUCUGAGACGCCACUCGAUACUGCCCUGACUCGAGUCCGGUAGGGGAGCGUGGAAUUCCCGGUGUAGCGGUGGAAUGCGCAGAUAUCGGGAGGAACACCAGUGGCGAAGGCGACUUCCUGGCCUGUUCUUGACGCUGAGGCGCGAAAGCUAGGGUAGCAAACGGG
RNAcentral lists this ribosomal RNA (254 nucleotides) under uncultured bacterium. Its description in RNAcentral is "partial 16S ribosomal RNA". It matches the Rfam family "Bacterial small subunit ribosomal RNA", at positions 524 to 776 of the family's 1533-position model. The record is from RNAcentral.